AGAGUUUGAUCCUGGCUCAGGACGAACGCUGGCGGCGCGCUUAACACAUGCAAGUCGAGCGAGAACCGGGACUUCGGUCCCGGGGACAGCGGCGAACGGGUGAGUAACACGUGGGUAAUCUGCCCUCGAUUCUGGGAUAGCCCGGGGAAACCCGGAUUAAUACCGGAUAGCCUUUCGAGCCUUCGGGCGCGGAAGAAAAGGUAGCUUCGGCCUCCGAUCGAGGAUGAGCCCGCGGUGGAUUAGCUUGUUGGUGGGGUAAUGGCUCACCAAGGCGACGAUCCAUAGCUGGUCUGAGAGGACGAUCAGCCACACUGGGACUGAGACACGGCCCAGACUCCUACGGGAGGCAGCAGUGGGGAAUCUUGCGCAAUGGGCGAAAGCCUGACGCAGCGACGCCGCGUGGGGGAAGAAGGCCUUAGGGUUGUAAACCUCUUUCAGGCGGGACGAAGCCACUCGGGUGAAUAGCCCAGAGGGUGACGGUACCGCCAGAAGAAGCCCCGGCUAACUACGUGCCAGCAGCCGCGGUA
This 527-nucleotide ribosomal RNA is filed under the name uncultured Actinomycetes bacterium. RNAcentral describes it as "bacterial SSU rRNA". It matches the Rfam family "Bacterial small subunit ribosomal RNA", at positions 8 to 522 of the family's 1533-position model. Lineage: Bacteria; Bacillati; Actinomycetota; Actinomycetes. The record is from RNAcentral.